This 300-nucleotide ribosomal RNA is filed under the name uncultured Synechococcus sp. RNAcentral's name for it is "bacterial SSU rRNA". It matches the Rfam family "Bacterial small subunit ribosomal RNA", at positions 114 to 417 of the family's 1533-position model. The record is from RNAcentral. Lineage: Bacteria; Bacillati; Cyanobacteriota; Cyanophyceae; Synechococcales; Synechococcaceae.
CGCGUGGGAAUCUGCCCUCAGGAGGGGAGUAACGGUUAGGUAAACGGGACCGGCCUAAUAACCCACUAUGCCGACGAGGUGAAAUAGAAUUUCGUCCUGAGGAUGAGCCCGCGUCUGAUUAGCUAGUUGGUGAGGUAAGAGCUCACCAAGGCAUCGAUCAGUAGCUGGUCUGAGAGGAUGAUCAGCCACACUGGGACUGAGACACGGCCCAGACUCCUACGGGAGGCAGCAGUGGGGAAGUUUUCCGUCAAUGGGCGAAAGACCUGACGGAGGCAACGCCGCGUGAGGGAGUGAAGGCCU